Mycena albidolilacea is the source of this 104-nucleotide non-coding RNA. The record is from the annotation of a GenBank genome assembly. NCBI's taxonomy places the organism in Eukaryota, Fungi, Basidiomycota, Agaricomycetes, Agaricales, Mycenaceae.
UCCGGAUUGGUGUAGGGGUUAACAUUGCCGCCUCUCAGGAAAUUUAGGUUUAUGUAAACCCACUGGGUUCGCGGCAGCCCGGGGUUCGAUUCCCCGAUCCGGAA